UACGUAGGGGGCAAGCGUUGUCCGGAAUCAUUGGGCGUAAAGGGCUUGUAGGUGGCCAACUAAGUCAGACGUGAAAUCCCUCGGCUUAACCGGGGAACUGCGUCUGAUACUGGAUGGCUUGAGUGUGGGAGAGGGAUGCGGAAUUCCAGGUGUAGCGGUGAAAUGCGUAGAUAUCUGGAGGAACACCGGUGGCGAAGGCGGCAUCCUGGACCAUUACUGACACUGAAAAGCGAAAGCCAGGGGAGCAAACGGG
Molecule: ribosomal RNA, 253 nt
Filed under: uncultured bacterium
Lineage: Bacteria
Description: partial 16S ribosomal RNA
Rfam family: Bacterial small subunit ribosomal RNA
Source: RNAcentral